GGAGGAGCUGAAAAUUUAUCAUUCUGAGCAACAAAACUACAAUGUGGCCCCGCAAAAUGCUUCUACCAGCUAAAUCCCUGUGAAGAAAUAUGUUCGUUGUUUCUAAAUUUUGGUACAAUUUUGUUGCAUGUUGUUGUCAGCAUUUCUGUUUUCUUGGCCUUGUUUUCCCUGCCAAGUUCCACUCAAAGAUCAGCUUGGAUCACCAAAAUUCGAGUUUGUGCAUACCUAUUUGGUUGUUGGUUCUGAAUUUCGUCCACUGUGUUUCGUUUAACCGCCAUUAUUUUUCUUAUUUGUUCCUUGGUGAUUCUUUUCGUUCUUGACUUACCUGCAGUUCUUCAGAAAUCCUUCUGUGUUGCUUUGAGCGUGUCGUUUUCAUUCCUACUCACAAUUAUCCUUUUCAUUUCUUCAUUAUUUUGCAUGUGGUUUCCUUUCUAUAUAUAAGUUUUAUAGUCCCGUUAUCUUUAUAUAAGUUUUCAUCUCAUAGCGCGUUCUUUAAUAGACCAAUUUAUGCCUUUUGUGUGUUUGUUUCCUAAAGCACAAGCAUCCUGUCUUCUUAAUGUUUUAUUCAUACCCACAUGUUGGUUUUUAUUAACUUUCUGCUUCAGAUCCUCGUAUAGUGUAUAGAUCGUGUAUAUUUGUUUGCGUUUCCAUUGUGAAAAUAUCGCUUUGGACGCCGGUCACCUGGACGAUUGGUGGCUUCAUUGCCUCCCUUAGCGUUCUUAGAAGGGGUUGUCAGAAGCCUUUGGGAGAUCAACAAACAGAUGCUGUACUGCUUUCUUUUAAUCACUUGUGGUCUUAUGUGCGAUAUUUCCUUUGAAAUAAUCUGGUUACUGGUAAAAUGUUAAGCUUAUCACAAAAAUAUUUCGCUUAGUUACAGAUGUCCUGUGGAUGCCUAGAGAUAUUUUUGCCUAAGAAUAAUUAGUUAAUCACCUAGUAGCGCCUAUGUAGCUUCGGCCAGACGUCGAACCGCUACAUCGUUUUUCAAGUAAGUCUGAUCGUAAUUGCUGUGUAUCCACACUUGAGCCACUUGGACCGUUUGGACGUUGCCCGAGUUGGCAGUACUGUAAACCCCCAUCGAAACACUCACACUUGUUCUGAAAAAAAUGCGAAUGUGUUCUGAAUUGGUGCCGAAUUCUCCUGGAUUUCCUGCAAACUUACAAGUUGGUUACUUUAUGAGCGGCCGUCAAGACAUGGUAUUGAUCGAGCAAAACACCUCCUCCAGCAUAACCGUUCCUCACACCCACGUUGUUGUUAUUGAUGAGAAAAGCUUGCCAAGGAAAGGCGUUUUGAGUGGCAAUUCCAUCUUGAGUACUGGGCUGCGUUGAGGGAGUUCCACAUGUAACCAAAGUACACCUGAUGUAUCCAGAGGAACAAUCUGAACCUUGAGCGUUGGCGCACCUGGUGCAGAACCUCCACCUCCACUUGGAGGAGCACCUCCUCCUCCACCGCCUCCACCACCUCCAUUAGGAAAAGCGCCUCCUCCACCGCCUCCAC
Molecule: long non-coding RNA, 1494 nt
Organism: Dendroctonus ponderosae (mountain pine beetle)
Lineage: Eukaryota; Metazoa; Arthropoda; Insecta; Coleoptera; Curculionidae
Exons: 3
Source: RefSeq, a predicted model, not a curated record